GAAAAGAAGACAUCACAAAUAUACUCAAUUAAAAUAUAGGUACAAGUUAUUUUUACUUAGUUUUAGUCCUUUUCUUUCAAAAAAAAAAAUCACUGUUUCAAUCCAGUUUCAUUGAAAUAUUACCUACAAUUUACUUCUCUUUCCCAUGUUUUAGGGAAUCAUUUCUCACGGUUUUGAAACGUCAACAGUUGUCAUUUUCUAAUUUUUUAAACAUCAGGUUUGCACGACGUCGGGACCAUGUGCACACAGAUGGUUUACUUUCUCAGCAUCAGGGACGCAUCUCAGGUCAGGUAUGAGUCCGUGCUGGUUUUAUAGCUUCUCUCAUAGAAUCGUAUGACACGAAAAAGCCAAAGGAACAUAAAUUGAGAGCACACAGCAGUUCUUUCUUCGGCUUACAAAAAAUUGAGCAUGAAGAGUUAAAACCGCUGACGUCAUAGGAGAAAACACCCAGUUCUCCAUAAGUGUUAUUUAAAAGCAGCUUUGUACUUGGCUACAUUAUCAUCUAAGAUGUAUGAAAACAGCGUGGGGCUGCCUACAUGGUGAGGAAAUACCACAUACGCCCUACAGUGAAUCAUUCAGGAAAGCCUCAGGGGAAGUCACGGGGGAAAUGGCAUCAUCCGGUCAGGAUCGCACUGCCCCCGGGCUGGCAAAGACUUUCUCCGCAGCACCUACUGUGGAGCCGGCAGCUGGGCACCCAGCACGCCUAGCACGUCCGACGGGGGCUGGUGAGUCAGCCUCCGCAGGCUUAUUCACAAGGCCCUGAAGAGCAGCUCUGCCAGCACGUGGCCCCGAUGGCCCUCUGCCUGGCACUGAGCAGGCGGAGAGCAGGGGUGACCGCCAGCCUGUCCCGCGGGACUCGCACUCCAACACGGAGACGGACGCACACAGAGGGCUCACACGCUGGCACCAAGUAUCACCAAAGAAGGGAAGAACCACGGGUGGGGAAGGCGGCAGCAGUGCGAGGGAGAGGCUGCGUCCGCAGACAAAGGGGUGCUGGCUGGAAUUUCAGAAAAUAGGGCCCUGCCGGGAGUCAGACAGCGGGAAGAGCAGCAGACGCAGGCAGCGGCCACAUGGACGCACAGCGCACGGCCUAGUACUAGGAACAUGGCUCGUGUAUUUGCAGGUAGGGGGCCAGGACUGGCAGGAGAUGGUGCCUCGCCCAACGGGAGGUGACGGGGACGUUCAGAGCAGGAGAGCAGGAACCAGCCCGGCUGUGAAGGUGCAGGGCUGCUGCGUGAGUGUCGGGGAGCCCACGGGAGCAGGGAGGACACCCCAAAGCGGCUUCCCCGGCCACCACUUCCCUCCCAGGCCCCCCGCUCGGGCCACCGCGGCUCAGGGACCCCCGCCACCCGACUGAAGCUCUCUCAGACGUGCCUGCAGCCCGCACCCCUUCCUUCCGGCCCGCUCGUCCCGGAGUCAGGGCUGAACUGAGGGCUCUGCCGGCCCACCGCUGCUCCCGCCCCUCCAUCCUGCACACACACCGAUGCUUUAAGAACCAUAUCCCACCCUGCCUGUGCUUCUCCCAGGACAGCACCAAGAGCUCAGUCAGUGCUCCGGGCAGGGUUAUAGACACAUCCGCCAGCUGCUGUACAAACACAUUUCGUUACAAGCAGCAGCCUUCAUAAAAUGAAUUUUUUAAAACGAUCAAAACCUUUGAAGAUGUAAAGACCUAUUGUGGCGAGUGAAACACUCACUGAAGUUAAAAAUCACACUCACUCUAAGUUUAUAUAUUUAUAUAUCUACGGACCUUAAUUUAAGCAAAAAAAAAAAAAAUAAUAGAAAAGUUAACUCCUAAAUUUUGCAUCUCUUUUGCUACUCAUCUGAGCUCCACAUUACACAAAAACAGCCGACUAGAAGUGAAACCUGGUCGAAUUUAAAAGAUCGUGGUUCAGGUAUAACUGUGGUACAGGCAGACCUCGUUUUGUUGCGCUUUGCCAAGAUUGUUUCCCCUACAGAUGGAAAGGUCUGUGGCAGCCCUGCAUCAAGCAAGGCUAUCGACGCCACUUUCCCCACAGCAUUUGCUCACUUCGUGUCUGUGUGUCACAUUCUGGUAAUUCUUGCACUCUUUCAAACUUUUCCAUUAUCAUCAUGUGUGUCACGGUGACCUGCGAUCAACCUGUGAUGACUAAGACCUGCUGAAGGCUUGGGCGGCGAUCAGCAUUUCUCAGCAAUAAAGUACUUUUUUACUGAAGGCAUGUCCAUUGCUUUUCAGAUGUAACGCUUCUGCACGCCUAACAGACGGAUUACAGGUGUGAAUGUAACUUCCGCACAUGCACUGGGAACCAGAGUUUCACGCGCCUUGAUUUCUUGCGGCAUCCUCUUCAUCGCCAUGGCCUGGAACCAGACCCACGACGCCUCCGAGGUCCGUGCAAAGGGAAGCCCAGGGUGUAGAGCCGGUGUCUGACUUCCUGUGUUGCUGUGCGGCCACGUUAGGCUCCUCUACCGGACUGCGACUCGGUCUACUUGGGGACAGGUGGUGGUUUCCAGACACAGCCCGCAUGGAGUGGGAGUGUGGUGCUGUCACUUACUGUAGGGACAAAAGGCUCAUCGGGUGCACAGUGG
Molecule: long non-coding RNA, 2562 nt
Organism: Physeter macrocephalus (sperm whale)
Lineage: Eukaryota; Metazoa; Chordata; Mammalia; Artiodactyla; Physeteridae
Exons: 3
Source: RefSeq, a predicted model, not a curated record